Homo sapiens (human) is the source of this 1383-nucleotide long non-coding RNA. RefSeq lists it as uncharacterized. NCBI's taxonomy places the organism in Eukaryota, Metazoa, Chordata, Mammalia, Primates, Hominidae. The transcript has 2 exons. The record is from RefSeq and is a predicted model, not a curated record.
GACCCUUUGGGAUUGGAAUUCUGGGUUUUGCGUGUGAGAGUUUAACUGGCUAAGACCAGGCCAGUACAUGAGCGCAGGCCCAAGAUCCGAAAGGGAAAGUCCUGAACGCCCCCUUCCCCCUGUCUUUUCGGCGGGGCUUUGGGAGUUUGCAGGGUGUUCUGAGUGUUUGGGCCUCAGGGAUUCUCACCUCCGGGAGAUUCCAGGAGCUGUAGGGGGUGGAAUGCGAGUAGGAGGAGAGUUGCAGAUGGAUAUCGUGGCCUGCUGAUGGUUUUGGAGCCCAGGUCCAGACAUUUCUUGAUUGAAGUAGACAUUCAAGAAGUGUGAAAUGCACAGUCAGAAAAUCUGGGACUUCUCUUUUUCCUUGUCAGAAUCAGGAUUGAAAAAUGAUUCAGCGGGGAAUAGCUUCUUUACAGUGAGAGCCCGUGUUAUUGAUUUUUGUGUCUGUAUACAACCUAAAAGAAUGGAGGCGUGUGUCCCUCUCUUUCGGAAAUAAUGAUAUCAUCCAUGUGUAAUUAAUUAUGUGGGGCCCAUGUUGGAAGACUGUGUAGCCAGCUCUUGGCUGUCGAAGCACUGACUACAUGGAUUUAACCUGCCAUUGACAGUGGCGCCAUUUUUCUGGUCCUCCAGAGGAACAUAAACCUGUCCAUUUUACUCAUCUUGAAGGAGUUUUGGCAAAACAUGUAUUAGGGCAGAAAAUGAAACCUCACUAGAGCUCCCUUUGCACUGGAAGGCUGGAGGAAUUUCGUGGACUUGGAGGCUCUGCCCUGUGCUCCACGGCCACAAGCCCUUAAGUGUUGUCUCCACAGCAUUUGCAUUUGCUGUCCUCAAAGCCCCGCUCCUCCCUCUCCCGUCGCUGUCCUCAAAGCCCCGCUCCUCCCUCUCCCGUCGCUGUCCUCAAAGACCCACUCCUCCCUCUCCCAUACACGAUUUUGAGCUAUAUCCUUAAUAUCCAGGUUCCUUUGUGUUUCCUGGUAAUGGGUAGAAGUGCAAGGGGAUUUCAGCUCCCAAGAGACAGGGUUUCCCCGUGCCUAAGACCCCAGGGUUGAUGCUACUCUGUCAUCAAGUGGUGACUGUGACUCUUCCCCCCGCAACCUCAGGAGGUUUUUUUGGACUUCAUCCCAGAUCCUGAGCUGGAGCUGGUCCUGGGAUGCAGAGCGUGCCUGUCCUAGUGAACUGAAGUGUCUCCAAAAGGGUUCCUGAAAACAGAACAAAGUUGCCCAGCCAGGCACGCAGGCCAGGGCAGGAAACUGGCCUUGGGGCCACCUCCGCUCAGGAUGGGGUGGAGGCAAACAGACUUGUGCGUCAUCCUUCACAAAGAAGGUUCUCUCAGAUAUUUGGAUUUCCUUGAGGAGCCCUCAAAGCAAUAAAAUAAUAUGUCCUUCA